UGUAAAUUUUUUUUGCAGCAUUAUGAUUACUAUGUAUUGCUCUUCAUUCUUUUUCUCUCUGUUUAAUUUCUGACUACACCAUCCUUUGCCCUAUUUUCUGUCUUGACCUUCUCUUAUCCUCUCCCCUUCCUACUUUCUUGUAGGAUAAGAUAUAUUUCUAUACCUAGUUGAUUGUGUAUGUUCUUCCCUGAUUGAACCAAUUCAAAUAAUAAUGUUCACAUGCUCCCCCCACCAUCUCUCCCAUCUUCCCCUCUACUGUAAGAAUUCUUUCAUAUCUCUUUAUGUGUAAUAAUUUAUCCCAUUUUGUUUAUCCCUACCUCCUCCCAGUGCAUUCCUCUUUCUCAUGUCUUAAUUUUAUCUUUUGUUUAGAUGUCCUAUCAUAAUCAACUCACACCCUUGCUCUCUGUCUAUGUUAUAUUGUUUCUAAUUGCCCUAAUAAUGAUAAAGUUCUUAGGAGUUAUAAGAAUAAUUUUUCCAUGUAGAUAUGUAAACAGUUUAACCAUAUUGAGUGACUUUUUAUUUCUUUUUCCUGUUUACUUUUUUAUACUUCUCUUGAAUAUUGUAUUUGGGAGUUUAAGCUCUGGCAUUUUCAUCAGGAAUAUUUGAAAGUCCUCUAUUUCAAUGAAUACCCAUUUUUUCCCCUGAAAGAUUAUAUUCAGUUUUGCUGGGUGAGUGAUUCUUGGCUGAAGUCUUAGCUCUUUUGCCCACUGGAAUAUCAUAUUCCAGGCCCUCCAAUCCUCUAAUGGAGAAAUUGCUAAAUCUUGUGUUAUCUUGACUAUAGCUCCAUGAUAUUUUAAUUAUUUCUUUUUGGCUACCUGCAGUAUUUAUUUGAUUAUUUCUUGAUUUCUCCUGGAGUCAUUAGCUUCCACUUGCCUAAUUCUAAUUUUUAAGGCACAAUUUUCUUGAAUGAACUUUUGUACCUUCUUUUCCACCUGUCCAAUUCUACUUUGUAAAGCAUUCUUUUCCCCAGUGAAUUUUUGUACCUCUUUUUCCAUAUGGCCAAUUCUACUUUUUAAGGAGUUCUUAUCUUCAGUUGAUUUUUGUGGCUCUUUUACUAAUUGGCCUAUUCUGUUUAUAAGAUAUUAAUUUCUUUAUUAUUUUUGUGCCUCCUUUACCAAGCUAUAGAUUUUUUUCAUGAUUUUCCUGUAUCACUCUCAUUUCUUUUCUCAAUUUUUCUUUCUGCCUCUCUUAUUUGACUUUUUAAAGUCCUUUUUUAAUUUCUCCAUUAAUUCUUUAUUUUUUAAACCCUUACCUUCCAUCUUGGAAUCAGUCAAUACUUGGUAUUGGUUCCAAGGCAGAAGAGUGGUAAGAGCUAGGAAAUGGGAGUUAAGUGACUUGCCCAGGGUCAUACAGCUGGGGAGUAUCUGAGGCCAUAUUUGAACCUAGGACCUCCUGUCUCUAGGUCUGGCUCUCAAUCCACUGAGCUACCCAGCUGCCCCCUCCAUUAAUUCUUUUUGAGUUUGAAAGCAAUUCAUAUUUUUCUUGGAGGCUUUGUAGUACUGUAGGAGGCUUGACUUUGUCUUCCUGUUUUGGUCUUUCCUGUCACCAAAAUAACAUUCUAUGUUGAAUUUCUUUUGUUGUUAUUGUUUUUUGCUUGUUUUCCAGCCUUUUCCUUUUUCUUCUCAUUUAAAAAAAAACUGUUAAAUUGAGCUCUAUAACUGUGAUGAAGAGAGCACUAUUCCAGGCUUGAGGUUCUAUGUAUAGAUACUUUCAGAGAUAGUUCUGGGAAUCUAUCUUUCUUCAGUUCUUCCAAGGUGAUAUGAUGUAAGGAGAAGUUUGUUUAAUGUUCCUUCCAACCUGUGCUCUGAUCUAUAACCACGAACACUCUUUUCAGCCUUGAAACUGUGACCACAAUCCCCUACUCCCCUGUGGCCACAAGCACUGGUAUGUGUUGGUGCUCCUUCUCACCCUGCAAUGGCAACCAAAACCACGACUGUAACCUAGAUCUGGUUAUGUGCAAUGAGACAAGAGUCUUGCACCCAAAGCCACAAAGAGUCCCCUGUAAUCGCCUUCUGAGCAAUUAUCUGACCCCAUACUCUUACCAUCUGUGACUGAGAACUACAGAAGCCACAGAGGGUCUGCCUUGGUGUACUGCUUUGUGUUCAACUUCUGGUGUAAUAGACAUGCCAGUCAUCUAAGUUGUUUGAGGCUGAAAAAUUAUUUCACCUCAUCUUUUUGUAGGUUAUUGUGCUCCAGAAUUCAUUUUUAGGCAUUGUAUCACAGUGUUUUGGAGAAUGAUUUGGUAGAGAUCAGGUGGGUCUGUGUACCUUCUCCACCAUCUUGGUUCUGCUCCUAGAAUUUAUUUUUUAAAAGAAAAGUGACCAUUACCCAAGCUUUAUGCAUAUAGAAAAGACAUUUCAUUAAUUUCCUAUCAAGUUUGACAGGGAUGAUUUCUGUCCAAUGUCAGGAUAAAGCUAUACUUUUAGAUUCCAUUCAUUCAUCAAAUGUUGACUUCAAUCCCUCUUGUGUACAGAGCAUUGGCCCUGAAUGAAAUAUAAAGUUUUGUUAAGACAUUGUCUCUGCCUCCCACAUAAUUUACCAUUGUAAUGAUGGGGAGUAGGAAAGAGAACUGAUGGGGGUAAAUGGAAUGUUGAGUAUUGGCAGUUGCAUGAGGCAAGAAUGACAGUUGGGAACUGAACAAGAACUUCUGGGAAAUUCUCUGAGGAGCAGUUUCUUGAGAGCUGAGACACAGAAGAGAGUGGAAGGAGGAGCUGUUUCUCGGGGCCAUUCAAGAUACCUGUGGAGAUUUCUGUCACUGACAGAAAUCCUAAUAUUGAGGGAACCUGUUUAAAGCAUCGAGGAUUCCUGUCAAGAAACCUAAUUUCUUCAAAGACUUUCAUUUCCAUGAACCAUUGAGAUACUGGACUCAAAUUGAGGGCAAUAUUCAGUCAUCAGAGAAGCAAAAUGACUAUCAAACACAGACCAGUGGAGCCUGCCAAUAGCAUCUGCAAGGAAGAAGCAUCCUUGACAAAAGGGAAUCAAGUUUAAAAAUGGAAAUCUUCUCUCCAGCCAAGAUUGACUGAGCUCUCUUUGAUUCAUUUACACUUAAAUAAACCCUCUGGACCACUGACUUCUUUGAAUCAGUUUGCCCUUUGACUGAUUUCACAAUUCUGUGUGUGUGUGUGUGUCCUUUCUCUAUGUGCCUACAAUUUCUACCUUGAGAUUUCCCCCAUCAUUUUUUCCAGUCCUCUCGCUUCCCUUCUAGGUCAGUAGACCACACGUGCCUUGUUGAGGCUGCACCCCCAACACUUUUCAGGGCUGCUCAUGUAAAAGUUAAAAUUAAAUCGUAAUAAUAAUAUUUUAGGAGAUUUAUUAAUGAUCAUUAGAAAUCAAGGAAUAAAGAAGAUACAAAAUAAAGACCACGUGCCCAUGGAUGGUUAGCCUUUUUUUUUUUUUAGUCAACGCUACUCACCACCAUCAAUGCGGACUCUAUAUCAGAGAGAGCAAGCCUCCAAAGCCCAUGCCCUUUAUCCUCUCUCUACAGGAAGUAUGUAAUGACAGGAAGUAAGUGGGCUCUUGGGAUAUGUUGUUCUUUUUUAGGGUAACAGAUUUUCAAUCAUACAGUGACCACCUGUGGCUCCAAGAAGCUGGUGGCAACAGCCACAGCCUGAGCAGAGGGACUAACCAAGGCUAAGGAUAACUGAGAGCCCUCAAACCCAUUGGCUAGUGGGAUGUCUACCUACUACAACAACUAGGUGAAGAAGUCCCAUGUCAGAAUGAGAAAAUAACAAUGGUUUGUUCCAAUGGCCAUGAAGGCAGCUGAAGAAGCAUUGUGUAAUGUUUAGAGCUUGGUCAGACAUGAAGACACUGAGGCUAUCUGCUGCAUCCCGGUCCAUUGCCAGUCCUCUUGACUUUGGUUUUGCCACUGGAGUUUGAUGGCACUUGAAGAAAGAGUGAGGCUGAUGACUUUGAGCAACUCUACCUUACUUAAAUCCAAUUCAAGCCAAGUCAGGACAUCACCCUUGAUAUCACUGGUUCUCUUCCAAAUACAGAAUGAACAACAGAAAGUAACAAGAGAAAAGAAAGAAGUGGAUGUGGUACUGAGUCACUUUCACUGAAAGGACGUGUUCUAAUGGAAAGGAUAUUGGUUUUGUAAUUGGAGGACUGAAGUUCAAAUCUCAGCUCUGUACACAACUCAAUACCUGUGUAACCUUGGGAAAAUCUGUUAACCUCUCUGAGAAUCAGUUUUAUCUUCUAUAAAAUAAAGAAAUUUAUCAGGUGAUCAAUAAGGUCACUUAUGGGUCAAAAUUUACCAACCAGUGAUUUUUGCCAACUCACCUCCAGGAAGGACUCACAUUUGGGUGUACCUAUAUCAUGUCACCAGGAUAUAAUAGAAUAGAGGCUGUCAUUACUUCUUUUUUUGUCUAAUGAGAUGAUUCUGGAUUUUAGAAAGCUCCUCCCAAACUUCUCACCCCAUUCUUGUAUCUUCUCCCUCCAUUUUGCAUCCAAAGUAAUAAUCCAUCUAUUUCCUUCCUCCUCUACCUAUUCAAUCUUUUCUUUCCACUGGGUGCAAAAUGAUCAUCCUUCUCUGUGAACCCCACUUUCAAUAUAGUAUGAAGCAUCCACAAAUAUAAAGAACAAAACAAAACAAACUCACUUGAUUUACUACUUAUGAUAGCAAAAUAAAUAUGGAUUGGAUCAAAUAACUUCUUAACUACAGCUGUGCUCAAAAGAAUGUUGUGUAUUCAAAUGUGAGUCACAGAUCUUAAAGGCUCUUAUGAGAAAGCUCUUAUGAGCUGAUUCAGCCCCCUCCUCCCAUCUUCAAACCAGGCAAGCUUAUACCAUCCCAGACACAAAAAUCUAUUUUGUUCAAAAAAUGUUUUUCAGAAGAAUCUGUGACCUCUUUUAGUAUUCUAUUCCAGUGUUUAGCCAGACUUACUGGCAGGAAAUUUGUCAUCAUCCCCUCUUGUUCUGGCCUCAGUAGAGAUAAAGAACAUCACCACCAUCUUUUGUAGAAGCAUUUUUAAUAUGCAGCAAAAUGGUUUGAUGACCUCUCAGAUUCUCUUCCCUGAAGAAGGAUCUCAGUUAUUUCUACAUUUCCUUGGGUUGGAUCUUGCUGUUAGAGUAUUGUACCAUGCUUCUGAAACCUCCAAGAUAGAAAAAAAAUCCCUCUUUAGUCAUUGUUUCCAGAACCAUACAAAAUAUUUUGCUAAAAUUUGUCACACUUUUAUUCCAAUGAGUCAAUUUCCUAAUGAUUCCCAGACUAAUAAUUAUUAGUUUCACUUAUUGUAUCAUAUCUCCUUUUCAAACUAUACUGCUUAUCUUUACUCGUGUUGAGGUUAUAAUUCAUUUGGAAUACAACCACAAGUCAUCUUCUGUAAUUUCUAUCCAUCCAUAUUUACUUCUUCUUCAUCUUGAAAUAGUAGAGUUUAUUCCUCUCCCCAAGUAAUUAUUCUGAGUUUUUUUGGAAUUAAUUCUUUUGAAGAAAUUGAUUGGUCAGAGAAAUAUCGUAGACAUAAUAUGAAUGAAUAAGUAUAUAAUGUACACACUAAGUCUCUCUCUCAGAGCCAAGCCUACUACAUUGCCCUCAGGGUUCCAGUGGGGUACCCUGAGGAAUUAGGGUGUUUGUUUUCUUUUUUUUUUAAACCCUCACCUUCUGGCUUAAAAUCAGUACUGUGUAUUGGUUCCAAGGCAGAAGAGUGGGUUAAGUGACUGGCCCAGGGUCACACAUCUAGGAAGGGUCUAAGGUCAGAUUUUAAUUCAGGACUCCCACCUCUAUGCCUGGCUCUCCAUACAACUGAGCCACCCAGCAACUCCAGGGUAUUUGUUUUCUAUUAAACUUAAGCCCCCACCAGUCAUGUUACAUCCUUUGUUGAGGGUCUGGGACUAGCAACUUAGUUCCAUAUCCAGUUCAAAUUGAUUAGCUUUUACAAAGCUCUGUUUACUUCUAUGGCAAGAACAAAGUACAUACAUUUCCUCCCUUAUACCACUUAGAAAAGUAAGUUUAAAACGUAGCUGUAUUUCAACAUGGCUCUGAGCAAGAACCAUCAAAUAAAGGUGAAGAGUGUGAAUCUUAAACUGUCUCAAACUCUAUCUUAGAACAUUUGGUUAAGGCUAUUCCCCAUUUUAAACAAUGAAGGUACUUGAUCAGGAAUGUAUUGGGAACUUUAAAAUUACUUCACCCAUACUUAGGCAUACUUUAGGGGAAGAUAAAGUUGUAAAACUCCUUAGUGAACAAUGAAGGUACUUAACUCAUACUUAUAGUGAGGCCAAGCCCUUAAGCUAGGUCUAUUUUUAGAUCUAAUACAAAAGGGUGCUAAGUACCUAUGAAGGUCAAAUUAAUCACUAAAAGGUCAGGCAACUUGCAAGGGACAACCUUAGCAAAGAGGUGUGAAAUACCUCUUUGCUAAGUUUUAGUCUACCCAGAGAAGGUGAUAAGAUGUGAAUUAAGAAUGGUCAGUCCUUUGGAAAACAUCUACUGUGAUUGGUAGAUGUGAAAACUUAGGGGAGGUGAUAUAGGAGAAAAUUCUCUUUAAAAGGAGCUGUCUGAACCAGUUCAAGGGAGUUGAGAAUAGUUCAGCUUAGGAAGCUAAAUUGGGGUCAAUUGGUGGCUAAACUGGAGGGUCUCUCUGAACACUGGAGUUGCUUGGGACAAUCUUGUGGUGAGUGAUUAAGAUGGACUUAGUUUUCUCUCUUAAAAGAAAGGCCUAGGCCAUUGGCCUAGGCCCUAGCCUUCCUAUUAUUUCCUCUUACUCUGUCUCUCUCCUUUUCUUUAAUUCCUUUAUUUGUCUUAAUUGAAAUCUCCAUGAAACCCAGCUGACUUGGGUAUUUCAUAUUUGGGAAUUUUUCCCAUGGCGACCACUUAUUUUUAAUUUAAAUCAAGACACUAAAAAUUAUCUUUACAGUUUGGGCAAUUCACAGUCUUGAAACCAUAUUUUCACGGUCACAGUUUAUGGUAACCACUCUUUUGUCUGUAACAGUUUAUGGCAACCACUCUUUUGUCUGUAACAAGAACAUGGAGGCAACAAGGGGUGACCAGAGGAACAAAGAAAUGUAAAGCAUGCAGGAAGUUUUGUAUAGGUAGAAAUGGUAACUGGUUGGAUAAGGUGUAACUGGUGUGUGUGUGUGUGUGUGUGUGUGUGUGUGUGUGUGUGUGUGUGAGUGUGUGUGUCUUUAAUGACUCUGUGCCCAAUCCAAGAGUCAUAAUUAAAUGACUAGAACUCGUUACAGAAUUUCUAUCCAUACUCCAUAAGCUUGCCCAAGUACCUCUAUUUUAUAUGUUUUGCAUGAUAAUAUAUGAAGGAAAAGAGGGAGGGAAACAAUUUGGAUCAUAUAACUUUAGAAAACUUAUGUGGAAAUUUGUAAUACAUAUAAUUAGUAAAAAUAUGUAUCUUUAUUAAAAAAACAACAACAAAGUACUUCCAUUUUUAGGAUGAUGACUCUGUAGGAAGCAAGCUUCCCACUCUCCUCUAACUAAAAAAAUGCCACCUGAGGCUUUCUUCAUUAGGUGCCAGAUUCUUAUUGCAAAUGAAUGCCAAAGCAUUUAUGAACUGCUUACUAUGUACAAAACACACCAUGCUAAAUGCAGAAUGUGAAUAUGAAUAGAAAAGACCUUCCCAUCUAGUCUCAAGGAAUUCACAUUCUAAUGGGGGAGAUAAUACAUAAAAAUAAAUAAUAGAUAAAAUAGAUAGAAAGUUCUCAUGAUCUUUAGGGUACAGUAGCAAAGCAGAUGAUGAUGCAUUAAUUUUAGUGUCAUUUCCACUGAUAUCAUAAAUAAUAACCAUAAAAAUAAAUAAAAGUAAAUAAUAAAAUAAAUAAAAAUAAAAAAAUCAUAAUUAUUACUAUUUGAUAAUGCCAUGGAUUUUGGUAGUAAUAAUUUUACAAUGGGUUGAAUAUUAAAACUAAAUUAUUCACAAAUCAUAAAAUCCAAUUAAAAAGCACUUUGCUAAUUAAAGAUUAUGAAAACAAAACUCUAGAGUUUAAAGGUUAUAAAAUCCUAACCCUCUUCCCCAGUCACCAUAGCAACGAAGUCUUUAGCAGAUCACCUUUUAGUUAUAAGAGAUGCCCUUCAAUAUUUAUAACCAUGCUUUGUAGUGACAAAAAAAUUGGAAAAUGAGGGGAUGCCCUUCAGUUGAGGAAUGGCUGAACAAAUUGUGGUAUAUGUUGGUGAUGGUAUACUAUUGUGCUAAAAGGAAUAAUAAAGUGGAGGAAUUCCAUGUGAAUUGGAAUGACCUCCAGGAAUUGAUGCAGAGUGAGAGGAGCAGAGCCAGGAGAACAUUGUACACAGAGACUGAUACACUGUGGCAUAAUCUAACAUAAUGGACUUCUCUACUAGCAGCAAUGCAAUGAUCCAGGACAAUUCUGAGAAAGAACACUAUCCACAUCCAGAAGAAGAACUGUGGGAGUAGAAACCCAGAAGAAAAACAACUGCCUGUUCACAUGGGUUGAUGAGGAUAUGACUGGGGAUGUAGACUCUAAAUGAUCACCCUCGUGCAAUUAUCAAUUAAUUAAAUAUUUAAAAUUUUUCAAUUAAUAAAAGAUCCCCUUCAAGUCCUGUGGCUAGUAAGAGCUCUGUUUUCUCAUUUUCCUUUUGAGUGGGACAGACAUAGAUGGACUGUGACAGAUUAUAGAUUUUGUUUCUUUAUUUCUCCUCUAAAAACUACCUCUCACUGAUACAGAGGGAAAUAAGGAAAACAUUGGACACAGUAACAGCAAUAUUUUGGAACAAUCAAAUGUGAUAGGCUUAGCAAUACAAUGAUCCAGGACAAUUCUGUGGGACUUAGGACAAAGAACGCUACCCACCUCCCUAGAAAGAACAGUUGGGUUCAGAAUGCAGAUGAAAGCAUAUGACUUUUCACAUGUUUAUUUGAAUUUAUGUUUUAGGGUUUUGGUUUUAUAAGAUUACUCACUUAAAAAAUGAACAGUAUGGAAAAUAUAUUUUACAUGAGAAUGCAUGUAUAACCCAGAUCAAAUCACCUGCCUGCACAGGGAGGGAAAAUGGAAAGGAGGAAGGGAGAUAAGUUUGAUCAUAUAACUUAGGAAAACUUGGUGGAAAUUUAUUAUUACAUAUAAUUGGAAAAAAUAAAAUGAAGCUAAAAACCACCUCUCUUCCAGACUUCACCACUACUGCUAAAGGCCACAUCUUUCUGGUCAUUCAGUUGCCAAAUCUUACCAUUUUUACCUCCACAUCUUGCCUGUGCCCUUCUCACUACUUACAAAACUACCACCACAGUUGCAAUAGUUUCCUAAUUACUAUCACUGCCAUAAGCGUCUCCUGUCUCCAAACCAUCCUCCAUACAACUGCCAAACUGAUUUUUUUAAAUCCUUACCUUUUGUCUUAGAAUCAAUACUAAGUAUCAGUUCCAAGGUAGAAGAGUGGUAAGGGUUAGGCAGCUGGGGUUAAGUGAUUUGCCCAGGGUAACACUGCACUAGCUAAUAUCCACAGUGAUUUGAACCAAUCAAAUUUGAAUGAUUUGAACCCAGUACCUCCCAUCUCCAGGCCUAAUUCUCUCUCAUUGAGCCACCUAGCUGCCCUAAAACAAGAUUUUCUUAAAAUGCAGGUAUUAAUAUGUCUUUCCCCUACUCAGUAAAUUCCAGUUGUUCCUUAUUGCCUCAAGAUCAUUUUAUUUUAUCUGAAUCUUUCUAAAAUUUUUUUUCUGUGUGGAUUUUAUAAUAUAUGUAGCUAUUAAUAAACUAUAGUAUUUAUAACUUAUAAGUAAGUAAAUAAACAAACACUGGAGAUAGGAUAACAUUCUGUUUUUAAUGAGACAAGGUAUGUGAUCAAAAGGUUUGAAGAUGAUUGCCCCAUGACACAUUUCUAUCUCCUAUCUUAGACUUUGUGUAAUGCAGUAUCAUUAAUCUAUUAAUUAUAUUAUGUAUAAGUUAUCUAUUAAUCCAUUAAUCUAUUCAUCUAUCUUCUCUUAAAAAGAAGCUAUGUUGGUUGGGAAUCCCUUUGUCUUUAUAAAAUGACAUUGCUUAUCAUCCCAUUCUAUUCGAGAUGCUUCUGAAAUCACAUUAUAUUUUUGCCUAAACUUCCCUACAUGUAAAAGCUGGCAGCCUAGAUCUCUAAUUUCCAAGAGGAAAGAAAUAAAUAGAAAUAAGAUCUGUCAUUUCCAAGCUAUCUCAUUACUGUGUAUAAUGUGGGACAUUGGUCAAGCCAACUGCCUGGGACUCAGUUUUCUCAUCUGUAAGAUGAGGAGUUUGGCCUAAAUCCCUCCCAACCUUAAAUCCUCUCAUCAGUGUCAGCAGUCUAGGAUUAGUCCUGCUGACAGCUUCCCUGUCCAGACGUCCUGACCCAACAGGGUGUAAACAGAUCUUUCUUUACCGGCUCUACUGAAGCCGCACCUACAAAUCAGCAGUUAUCGGGGGAGCCCAGACAUCCCAACUGAGAGGCAAUGGGGACAUCAAAGCAUAGCAGCUGAGCAGCUGGCACCCAGCAGCCACUCCUGAAAAAUGAAAUCAGUAUAGGAAAGUGUUUGUCAUGUUAGGACCAUUCUAAAGCUAGAAUGUUUAUGCUAGAGUUUGGAGAGAGACAGAGUUAAGCCAUGAUGGUGUCUGGAAUUCCUUCCUCGACAGACCCUUUGGUGUAGACACACUUUGUGUGUCUCCUGAGGCAAGGCAAACAUGGCAUAGCCUUCUGUUUUGAGAAGGCAGGGACUACGAACUUCUGGGAGAAGAGCCUUUCGUGGGUAGCUGAAUGUGUUUAUAUGGAAUGAGUUGGUAAAUUGGACUGAUCAGAUCACUGAUGAGAACUUGCCCCAGACCUAGCUCAUUCAGAUUGUGACCACGAGUAUCCUGGCAAAUGUUUAGCAACCUACUCUCCAAAAAAAAAAAAGAUUUUAAUGUGUACACAAUAUAUUUUUACACGUAAUUUGCAUUAUUAACUUUUUCCUCCAUCACUCUUUUAAGUCUAGGCAAUAAAAAAUAAAACCAUGCCCUGAUUUAUAGUUUGCCAGUUUCCAAGGUACAAAUGUUCAGAUUGAAAAUUUACCAGUUGGCUCUUAUGAAGUUCUAGCUUGCUUAAAAACAAUCUUGGAUAUGUCUGAGACUAUGUCUUGAGACUUCCUAUUUCUAUUUUCAAAGAAGAACCUUCUAAGAAUAUAAAUAACACCCUCUGAAAAGAGUCAACUACUUCUAGGGAAAGAGGGCUACCAUAAAGUGAAUCACUUAAACUGGCUUUCAGGGGUCUUCACAAUCGGGUCUCUUGCUACUCCACCAACCUUGUCUUUCUUGUCUUUCAUUGACUCGCCACUCCAGCCAAACUGGGCUAUUCAUCUCUCUCCAGAAUACUGUGCUUGAGUCUUCCCCUCAUCUGCAUGACCUGCCCGCUCUUAUUUACUGAUGUCCUACUUUCCCUUAAAGGCUUGAAGCAAGUCCUUCUCUCUCUGUAAAGUUUCUCCCAAUAUUGUUAUUCCAUGGAGGUCACUCCCUCCUAUGAACUCCCACAGGGCUUAUUUCAUUUCCAGUUCACUGAUGUAUCAUUUGGAACUGUGGUGUAUUGGAUAGUGUCAGACCUGGAGUCAGACUCAUCUUCCUGAGUUCAAAUCUGACCUGAGACACUUAUUAGCUAUGUGACCCUGGAAAAGUCAUGAAACUCUGUUUGCCUCAGUUUCUUCAUAUGCAAAAUUAUCUGGAGAGGGAAAUGGUAACCUAUUCCAUUAUCUUUGCCAAUAAAACCCCAAAUGAAGUCAGAAAGAAUUGGACAUAACUGAAUAACAACAAACCCCACUUGGGAUUACUGUUAGAACAACAAGGAAAACGAUGCAGACAAUAUGUGAGAACAGGAUAGAAGAGAUGCAGUUUUACUACAAAGAUCUUGGCUGUUUUCCCCAGGUAGUGAUUAGCCAACAUAUUUAAGUUACAAGAUGCUAUCAAUAGUGAUAUUGGUUCUAUAAUUUUGAAAUUAGCACCCUCACUUCUGCAAUGACUUGUAAGAAUUAAAUUAAUAUCAAAUACUUCAAGUAUUAUUUUUAUAAAGUUUAUUAUCUGACAAAAUAGAACCACAUGACUAAGUUUUGUGCCUGCUCCACCAAAACUGCCAACAGAAAGGAAAGAAGGCUUGACAGAGAAAUCCACCCAAUUUAUCUCCUGUCUACAUCAGCAGAUAAUGAUAGGAAGCAAGUGGGCUCCUGUAGUUUUACUGGGAAUCUUAGUUUUUAGGAUAACAGAUUCCAAUUUCACAGAUUGCAAAGGAAACACUUGUUUGAGAAUAAGAUACGGACCUGGGUAGG
Molecule: long non-coding RNA, 12170 nt
Organism: Monodelphis domestica (gray short-tailed opossum)
Lineage: Eukaryota; Metazoa; Chordata; Mammalia; Didelphimorphia; Didelphidae
Source: RefSeq, a predicted model, not a curated record